This 437-nucleotide ribosomal RNA is filed under the name Phatnoma marmorata. Its description in RNAcentral is "partial 16S ribosomal RNA". Lineage: Eukaryota; Metazoa; Arthropoda; Insecta; Hemiptera; Tingidae. The record is from RNAcentral.
UUUUUUUGGUUUUUAUUUUAAAUAUGACCUGCUCAAUGAGGUUUAACUUAAAUAGCCGCGAUAUUUUAAUCGUGCAAAGGUAGCAUAAUAAUUUGUUUUUUAAUUGAAAGCUAGAAUGAAUGGUUGGAUGAAAUAUCUUCUUUCUUUACUUUAAAUUAUAUAAUUUAAAGUUUUAGUGAAAAUGCUAAGGUUAAUUAAAGGGACGAUAAGACCCUAUAGAGUUUAAUAUUAGUCUUUUUUAUCAACUUAUAGUUUUUAGAAGUUGAUUUGGUUGUUUAUAUUAAGUUGGGGUGACUUCURAAUAGUUUAAACUUUASUGUAUYAUAUUUGUUAAUUAGCAAUUUAAUGAUCCUAAAUUUUGGAGAUUAARAMUAAAUUACCUUAGGGAUAACAGCGUUAUUUAACUGGAAAGUUCUCAUAGAUAGUUAAGUUUGCGA